RNAcentral lists this ribosomal RNA (586 nucleotides) under uncultured bacterium. RNAcentral describes it as "bacterial SSU rRNA". It matches the Rfam family "Bacterial small subunit ribosomal RNA", at positions 224 to 801 of the family's 1533-position model. The record is from RNAcentral.
GAUGGACCCGCGGUGCAUUAGCUAGUUGGUGAGGUAACGGCUCACCAAGGCAACGAUGCAUAGCCGACCUGAGAGGGUGAUCGGCCACAUUGGGACUGAGACACGGCCCAAACUCCUACGGGAGGCAGCAGUAGGGAAUCUUCGGCAAUGGACGAAAGUCUGACCGAGCAACGCCGCGUGAGUGAAGAAGGUUUUCGGAUCGUAAAACUCUGUUGUUAGAGAAGAACAAGGAUGAGAGUAAAAUGUUCAUCCCUUGACGGUAUCUAACCAGAAAGCCACGGCUAACUACGUGCCAGCAGCCGCGGUAAUACGUAGGUGGCAAGCGUUGUCCGGAUUUAUUGGGCGUAAAGCGAGCGCAGGCAGUUUCUUAAGUCUGAUGUGAAAGCCCCCGGCUCAACCGGGGAGGGUCAUUGGAAACUGGGAAACUUGAGUGCAGAAGAGGAGAGUGGAAUUCCAUGUGUAGCGGUGAAAUGCGUAGAUAUAUGGAGGAACACCAGUGGCGAAGGCGGCUCUCUGGUCUGUAACUGACGCUGAGGCUCGAAAGCGUGGGAAGCAAACAGGAUUAGAUACCCUGGUAGUCCACGCC